This is a non-coding RNA of Taeniopygia guttata (zebra finch), 3444 nucleotides long. The record is from RefSeq and is a predicted model, not a curated record. Lineage: Eukaryota; Metazoa; Chordata; Aves; Passeriformes; Estrildidae.
UUGCUGCUUUUGAAGUGAAAUUCCUUUGAGGUGAUUUGUGCUGGAGAUUAGCAAAAGUAAGUAGUUGAGUGUUUGACUGGCACAGAGAUAUUUUUACAAUGAAUUACAGUAUUUGAAGGCUCUGUAGUAAGUCCCAUGCAAUAAAGCUAUCUACUGUAUUGCUUUCACUGUGACUGUCUGUAUACUUUGACCUAGACUGAUUUGCCAUUUUCUUGUCACACUAUGUCCUAAAGCCUCAGCAGCUUUAUUUAAGGAAUUAUUUGGGACCUUUAUCAAAAUUCCUGUCAUGCAAACCCAGUCCUCAUAAGACUGUGGUGUAUACAUGAACUCUCAUGGACAAAGCCUCUCCUGUCUGCUCACUCUUCUUCACAGCUCUUAUGUUUCAUGCUAGAAUGGGGUACCUGCAGUGACAAACAUUGUGACAGAGAAAGUGUCUUACCCUGCACCUCCCCAUAUACUCCAUUUGCCACAUCUCUAGAAUGUGAAGGCUGUGGAUGUGAGCUCAGCUGGAUUUGAGCAGGUGAAAAGAGAAGGCCUAGAGCUGAAAACUGCAGAUCCAGAGGUCACCACUGGGAUGAAAGGAAGGUCUGAGGCAGCAGGAAACUGGCAGGAAGAUCCUGCAAACAGAUACCACCUUUUCAGACUGAGCAGCAACCUCCCUCAUGGAUGGAACACACAGAGAGAGCCCAACCUCACCCUCAGAAUAAGAGAAACUUCUUUCAGUGCACUACCCUGGGAGCACCUCAGAGACCUUUGGGGCAAGGGGACACUGACCCCAUGAAGAAAGUAUCUCACAGAGGCACAGAACUUGGACCAAGCCCUGAAGAAACGUCCCUUGUCACCUUCCCCAGGGUCAGACCACAUCAGUUUGACUGACACUGCCACAGCAAGAAGCUGGAAGGACUCACGAGUGAAACACUUACUGGGAUGGUCCAUCCUGAACUCUGGGGAAUGCCAGUCAAAAACAGAGCCAACUGCAGCAACAGGGAGGGAUGUUGGAAAUGUACAGAGCACAGAGGGCAAGGAUGAUGAGCAUGAGGUCUCUCUGAACUGGCACCAAGACUUUUCCCUUCACACUGAUGCAUCUGAGCAGAGGCCGGCCGCAUGGUGAAGUCGUGUUCGUCGACCCUGAGAAGCUGCUCCGUCUUUCCUUUCCAGGCUUUGGUCAGGUCGCGAUUCUUCUUAAAGAUGUGGCUGCAAAAGACGGCAAUGGCAUUGCUCCAUGUCUCUGUGCCCGAGUGCCACAGCUGCCAGCCCAGCUGCGGAGCCACAGGAGCAGGGUCUCUGCAGGCACAAUCCCAGGGACUGUGGGGAGACUGCCAGCACCAAAACAGACCCAGAGCUGCCUUUCCACAGCAUCAGUCAGACCUUUGUGCCCCACAGGCAGCCCUGCUUCCUCUGCCCCUCUCCAAGGACGUGGUGCUCCCUCUGCCCCAGCCACACCGGCUCCAGGGAGACACAAGGCAGAGAGCAUCUCACGGGGAGCUGCACGCAGUGAAUGCUGCAGCUGAGAGCAAGCACCAGUGGAGGCAGCUGGGGGCCCCACGUUACCUGGCCAGGAUUUGGCCAGGUACCAAGGCAACACUGUCAUAAAAAAUCUCUUUUCAGUGCUGGUCACGCAAUGUCAUGCACUACUUGGAAACUGCCCCAUUAACUUCACCAAUUCAGUGCCAGCAGUUUGUGUGGACAGUGGGUCUUCUGGCUUUCAGCAGCAACAAAACCUCCCCAAAACAGCAGGAAGAGAGGAGUUUUAUCUAACGAAGCCUUCAGUCCCUCACCUCACUUUUCUGAACAUUAAGUCACAGGCUGAACAACUUCCCCACAGAAUGGUAGCAGAGAGCUCCCCCAGAACUCGCAGGACCAGCCGCACCCAGAGCUCCGCAGGGAAGGACCUCUGCACCCCGGGGACCUCUGUGCAAUGUCCAAGGAAGAAACUACAGCACUGAAGGAGUUCUGCACCUGCAAACCCAAGCAAUAGUCUUGAAGUCUAUAUAAAGAUCUUCAGAUCAGGCUGAUUUAUCACCUUAGUGGACACAAAAUAUCAAACUUACCAACUGUAGACUCCCCAAUAUAGGGAUAAAUUUUCUUUAAUAAGAAACAUGUACUGUAGAAUUUACUUUGUUUCUUACAGUAAGUCAGCAAGAGAAAUACUAAGCAGAAAAUGUGAUGAAAUAAUUUAAAAGAGCAUUCUUUUAAUUUCUCUUACAUGAUUAGGAAACCAGCCUAGGAACUAGUUUUAGUUUCAGUUUUCUAGAAUUAAUUAUUUUAGUAAUUUAGUAAUUGGUAAUUUACUAUUCAUUGUUGGUUUAGGGACAACUAAUUUUUUUCUUUAAAAUAAAUGUAAUUGAAUAUUGAAAUAUAAAAAAUUGAAAUAUAAUUGAAUAGGAAAAUUAAAAUAUUAACAACACUGCUCCAUACACAUCUUUAUGUUGCAACAUUGCAGAAUUCUCUGUAUUUAAACUGUCAUUCUCAUUCGACAAUCCCUCAAAUCUGAUUUUAUAAAUUUUUAAAUAACUACAUUGCAUAGGAAUUGUAUAUGUGUGUGUAUAUAUAUAUAUGGCAUAUAGUUCCUCAGAUCCUACUUAGAUGGAAAAUUGUUCAUUUCGUUUAUUACACCACAGAAUACUAAAUAGUAUUGCUAUUCUUUGUAGGGUAUUUGUAAAAACAAUUUUAGAACUGCUUUGACUUCCACUCUGUUACAACUCAUGAAAAUAUCAGCACUGUAGAACUUUUCUCCAAGUUCAAAUAAAGUACAAAACUUUUAAAGCAGGGAAAUUUUUACUUCAGGGCAAAUUGAUAUUUAAAGAAGGAUUUACACUAUUUUAUUACUUCAAAGUAUGCAAUCUUUACUACACAGAAAGGUUUGCAAGGAAGUGCUACUGUUCAAUCCUCCACAUUCCUCAGAAUAUAGACUUUGGAAUAUUUUCAGAGUUCAAUGAAAUAUUCAAUAAUUGAGUUUCUGUGAACAUCAGUGGUAAAGUUUCAGUUGUCUAUAGGAUUUCACUAUGAGGCCCUGGCUGUUUCAGCUUUUUAACAUUUACGUCACUAAAAGCAUAUGCCACUGUAUUUUUUUAAUAAGUAGUGUAAAUCUGAUAGCAUAUCUUUGCUUCCAAUUUAUCAUGUUUCUUUUCAAAACAUUAAAGUAACAACACUCCCUAUAAAAGUGUUGAAUGAUAAACCAAAAAGUCCGCAAAAAUAAAUGAAAAUUUGAAGUUUACAGCCACAAUGAAACCAUUUAAUAAAAUGGAUUAACCCAAUUUAAUUUUGAGCCCUUCAAACAAUGAAUAGUCUUGUAAAAUAUAACUGCCACUGGAUGACAUAACCACAAAAAAGGAUAACAUACUGUGGACUGUCUGGCAGGUUUGGAAGAUUAUCUUUUCUAAUGUAAACCUCUAGACAAAUCUCAGCAGCGGUAAAUCUAAUAAACUUUACUAAGACCUUUAA